AGGGUAAUCACAAGGUAUGAAGCGGG
This 26-nucleotide non-coding RNA is filed under the name Mus musculus (house mouse). Lineage: Eukaryota; Metazoa; Chordata; Mammalia; Rodentia; Muridae. The record is from RNAcentral.